AAUUUAAUUAAGUUUACUUCUAUUCUUUAAUUUGCCAUGCAGAUGUCCUCCACGCAAAAUUUAUUCUGGCGAAUAUAAAGCUUAUAACAAAAUUAUUAGAGCUUCUUCCAAAGUGGAUACCUUAUAUAAUAUGUUUCUCCCGCGAACAUUUUCAGUAGACUUUCAUUUUCUCUGAAUCACCUAAAACUUCACAAUUCUUCAACCACUGUAUUUCAAGUAUUUUAAUUCCGGAUAUACCUGACAUAACAUUCCGUCACUAAAUAACAUUAAUUAUAUUACAUGGCAAUACUUUUGCUGUCUAUGCUGGUAAUAUAUUGGUUUCGAUGUCUCACUACUUCACUACAGUCAUUGGACUGCGGCCAUGCUGAGGUGUUACCUUAAAGGGUUUAGCCGAACAAAUCGCCUGUAUUUUAGACAAUCAACCAAUGGAAAACAAAGAAGAACCAAGAGAAGCCGUAGGAGUGGGUCAGUCGAUUACAUCGAUCCCAGCCGUCUUAUACAACCUGAAAGGAUGAAAGGCGAAGCCUACUACGGCCGAAUAUGAACUCAAAAGAUAAAUAGCCGCAAGAAAUGCCUCAAAACAUUUUGUUCGAUGCACUGACGAUUCUCCCAACUCAUAAUACUAAAUAUAUAACGAAAAUGAGGGACUCCAGAAGUCAAAUUAGUGUGUGUGUGUGUGUGUGUGUGUGACUGACUGACUGACUGACUGACUGACUGACUGGCUUGCUUGCUUGCUUGCUUGCUUGCUUGCUUAUGUUAAGAGCUCGAGUUCUAUAAAUAUCUUUAUUAGUCAUUUACCAUUUUUUUUAUUCAAGACAAUAACUUUCCUAAGUCUACCGACAUUUCUUGAAUUCAUCUUCUAAAUUUAGUGAUGAUGAAUUUGAUGCCGAGUUUAUGGUAGGCAACGAAGAACUAUGGAAAUUAUAUUAUAAUCAAUAUCAUCGUCGGGCUUAAAGUUGUCUAAUUGCGAACUCAUUGUUACUUGUAUAGUUAUAUUUAUGUAUUCUAAGCUUGAGUGGUGAGUUUUUUUGUUGAUUUUUUUUUUGCUUAUAUUUUGCUACUCGUAGCGGUUCUGUAGUUAAUGAAUUAUGUAAAAUUUUGCAUAAUAUGUGAAUUUCCAACAAGAAAAAGCUCAUAUAACAAUUAUAAAAAACACCAAAUAAAAGCAGACAGAAAAAUAUUUGAUCACACUACCAAACACACACACACACACAAAGAAAAAAACUAAACAGAAAAUCUGAAAAAUGCUCUACAAAAAUGAUUAACCUCAGUCAGGGGUGUGUUUGUUUGAAUAAAUUUAAGCAACGACAUUGGAGAAUUCCAUGCUGAAUAUUUUUGUUUUAAUCUUCCCUUUCCAAUUUACUAAAUGCAAGCUGAGCAUUUUAUUUGAAGACCCCAACAUUUCGAGAUUACCACUUCUGCACUUAGUAACAUAACUAAGUGCACCAUUAAUCAUAGAUACAAUGUAUGUUUUACGUGCUGAAUUUUAGAAAUGUCUUGCAUAAUUUUACAAUUCCGCUGACAGAUUGUGUGUUCACGUAUGAGCAAUAGCAUACAAGAUAAACCUGACCCUCGAAAGCGCGAGAAUGCUGAGUGGAGAUCUCUCGUCAUUCUAAGUUCUGUGGGGGACCAGAUGGAACUAAGAUUAAGGUAUGUUGUCCGUAAAAAUAAAAGGAAUUCCGUAGGCACCAUAAUCGUGCAUAAAAAUUACUUUUCUGCUCCAAUACAAAUUGGUAAAGUCGUCAGAGCAUCGGCUAAAAUGAUUCGCA
This is a long non-coding RNA of Octopus bimaculoides (California two-spot octopus), 1769 nucleotides long. RefSeq lists it as uncharacterized. The record is from RefSeq and is a predicted model, not a curated record. Lineage: Eukaryota; Metazoa; Mollusca; Cephalopoda; Octopoda; Octopodidae.